Mercurialis annua (annual mercury) is the source of this 974-nucleotide long non-coding RNA. RefSeq lists it as uncharacterized. The record is from RefSeq and is a predicted model, not a curated record. The transcript is spliced from 3 exons. Lineage: Eukaryota; Viridiplantae; Streptophyta; Magnoliopsida; Malpighiales; Euphorbiaceae.
CUGUGAAAUCAUCAUCACCAUCUGUUACUUCAAUUGAGCAGAUGCUUUCGAUUUUGAUUUAGACAUUUUGCGUCAGCUGUUAAUGUUGCAGACGAGGGAGGAGCUACUCAUGUAGCUAUAAUUGUAACCAAGAACUAGUGAAGCUUCCGGUAAUUUGUUUAUUCGCCAAUUCAUAUCUCGUCAUUUUAGUUUCAACUGUUAGCUCUUAUAGUCAUAUCUUGUCAUUUUAACCUCAGUUGUUUGAUAAACCAUUUUGACCAUCAGGCUAUGUUUAAGCAAUCUACAAAGAUUAGGUUUAUUAAGAAAGAAUUGUAAUUUCGCAAUGCUGUAUAGAUAAUACUUCAGCCGGCAUUGUUGUAGCUCAAGUAAAAUAAAUUUAUAGAGCUACAAUAAUAGUCUAGUGCAAUCCAAAUCAGAUUCUGAAUCUGAUGCUUCUGAUGGUGCCUCUAGCGUCCAAAUUCAAGUGACCGGGUCUGGACACGGACAAAGCUUAUCAGAGGCAAGUAUUUGUUCUUUUGUACAUAUGCCUUUUGAAAUUGUCUAUUUUUGUGAUUUUGUAGAGUUCCAUGAAGAUAUACGUGGAAAAUGUAGUUUAUAUAUUAUAUCUAGUAAUUGCUUUCUGGGAUCAUAACUUUUCUUGAUUGAUGUUGCUUCUCUUUGAUUAGAUGAUGAAGUUACUCACAUUUCAGACUAUAAUAUUCUAAAAAUGAUAAUAGGAGCUAUUAAGAGCAUCUAUUUAAAUAAUCAUUUAAGCACAAUGUAUAACGAUUUUUGAACCUUUGUUUUAACUUUUCACUUCUGACCUCAGUGUGCAUACCUUUGUUUCAACUUUUCACUUCCCACCUCAAUGUGCAUUCCAUCAAAUUAACCAUCAGCCACUUUCUUUGCUGAAUGUAGAAUGUACAUGAAUUUUCAGUUUGUGAUUUUGUAGCAGUUGGACACAUGCAUGUUAACAAACAUCUACGUAAAAGUUC